RNAcentral lists this ribosomal RNA (492 nucleotides) under uncultured bacterium. Its description in RNAcentral is "partial 16S ribosomal RNA". It matches the Rfam family "Bacterial small subunit ribosomal RNA", at positions 29 to 507 of the family's 1533-position model. The record is from RNAcentral.
AGUGAACGCUGGCGGUAGGCCUAACACAUGCAAGUCGAACGGCAGCACAGUAAGAGCUUGCUCUUACGGGUGGCGAGUGGCGGACGGGUGAGGAAUACAUCGGAAUCUACUUUUUCGUGGGGGAUAACGUAGGGACACUUACGCUAAUACCGCAUACGACCUACGGGUGAAAGCAUGGGAUCUUCGGACCUUGCGCGAUUGAAUGAGCCGAUGUCGGAUUAGCUAGUUGGCGGGGUAAAGGCCCACCAAGGCGACGAUCCGUAGCUGGUCUGAGAAGAUGAUCAGCCACACUGGAACUGAGACACGGUCCAGACUCCUACGGGAGGCAGCAGUGGGGAAUAUUGGACAAUGGGCGCAAGCCUGAUCCAGCCAUACCGCGUGGGUGAAGAAGGCCUUCGGGUUGUAAAGCACUUUUGUUGGGAAAGAAAAGCAGCAGGUUAAUACCCCGCUGUUCUGACGGUACCAAAAGAAUAAGCACCGGCUAACUUCGUG